This is a regulatory RNA element of 57 nucleotides. It matches the Rfam family "3'-terminal pseudoknot in PYVV". The record is from Rfam.
AGUAGAAAAGUUGGUGCUUAGACCACGCCCUCUACCGUAAUAAUAGAUAAAUAGGCG